GAUGAAGAACGCAGCGAAAUGCGAUAAGUAAUGUGAAUUGCAGAAUUCAGUGAAUCAUCGAAUCUUUGAACGCACAUUGCGCCCUCUGGUAUUCCGGGGGGCAUGCCUGUUCGAGCGUCAUUAUAACCACUCAGGCUCUCGCUUGGUAUUGGGGUUCGCGGUUUCGCGGCCCCUAAAAUCAGUGGCGGUGCCUGUCGGCUCUACGCGUAGUAAUACUCCUCGCGAUUGAGUCCGGUAGGUCUACUUGCCAGCAACCCCUAAUUUUUUUAAGGUUGACCUCGGAUCAGGUAGGGAUACCCGCUGAACUUAAGCAUAUCAAUAAGCGGAGGA
This 330-nucleotide unclassified non-coding RNA is filed under the name soil metagenome. RNAcentral describes it as "partial contains 5.8S ribosomal RNA, internal transcribed spacer 2, and large subunit ribosomal RNA". The stretch from base 1 to 120 matches the Rfam family "5.8S ribosomal RNA", at positions 35 to 154 of the family's 154-position model. The record is from RNAcentral.